Molecule: non-coding RNA, 189 nt
Organism: Salvelinus sp. IW2-2015
Lineage: Eukaryota; Metazoa; Chordata; Actinopteri; Salmoniformes; Salmonidae
Source: RefSeq, a predicted model, not a curated record
UUACCAACUAUCUACACAAGGAGAUAAGGGGGAAGGGGGUUACAAAGGAGUACGUGGACCAUCUGGUAGACCCGGCCCACCUGGUCCUUUUGGCUAUCCUGGCGAGAAGGGAGAGAAUGGAAUUCUGGGGUAUCCAGGGGGACGGGGUCCUCCUGGUUUUAAUGGACCUCCCGGAUCUCCAGGAAGACC